AUAAGUCAUCGGUUCAAAUCCGAUAAAGGGCU
This 32-nucleotide transfer RNA is filed under the name Hordeum marinum (seaside barley). Its description in RNAcentral is "partial tRNA-Thr". The record is from RNAcentral. Lineage: Eukaryota; Viridiplantae; Streptophyta; Magnoliopsida; Poales; Poaceae.